RNAcentral lists this ribosomal RNA (441 nucleotides) under uncultured bacterium. RNAcentral's name for it is "partial 16S ribosomal RNA". It matches the Rfam family "Bacterial small subunit ribosomal RNA", at positions 338 to 795 of the family's 1533-position model. The record is from RNAcentral.
CCUACGGGCGGCAGCAGUGGGGAAUAUUGGGCAAUGGGCGCAAGCCUGACCCAGCAACGCCGCGUGAAGGAAGAAGGCUUUCGGGUUGUAAACUUCUUUUGACAGGGAAGAGCAGAAGACGGUACCUGUCGAAUAAGCCACGGCUAACUACGUGCCAGCAGCCGCGGUAAUACGUAGGUGGCAAGCGUUGUCCGGAUUUAUUGGGUUUAAAGGGUGCGUAGGCGGACGCUUAAGUCAGCGGUAAAAUUGCGGGGCUCAACCUCGUCGAGCCGUUGAAACUGGGUGCCUUGAGUGGGCGAGAAGUACGAGGAAUGCGUGGUGUAGCGGUGAAAUGCAUAGAUAUCACGCAGAACUCCGAUUGCGAAGGCAGCGUACGGGCGCCCAACUGACGCUGAAGCACGAAGGCGUGGGUAUCGAACAGGAUUAGAUACCCGUGUAGUC